CAGGCAAAUAUUUGAUGGACCAAUCCAAGGGUGACCAGCUGCUUCUCACACCCAGCAGAUAAUUACUUAAAGGACCAAGACAGCGUAAUAUGUCCUCGGUACAAAGCCAAGUGUGAUCAGUUCCUUCUAACAAACAGCAGGUUCCGACCCACACUUUUCAUUCA
This is a non-coding RNA of Chiloscyllium plagiosum (whitespotted bambooshark), 164 nucleotides long. Lineage: Eukaryota; Metazoa; Chordata; Chondrichthyes; Orectolobiformes; Hemiscylliidae. The record is from RefSeq and is a predicted model, not a curated record.